RNAcentral lists this ribosomal RNA (562 nucleotides) under Ralstonia sp. KNF15B. RNAcentral's name for it is "bacterial SSU rRNA". It matches the Rfam family "Bacterial small subunit ribosomal RNA", at positions 338 to 873 of the family's 1533-position model. The record is from RNAcentral. Lineage: Bacteria; Pseudomonadati; Pseudomonadota; Betaproteobacteria; Burkholderiales; Burkholderiaceae.
CCUACGGGAGGCAGCAGUGGGGAAUCUUGGGCAAUGGGGCCGUCCGUAAUCCUGCAAAACCGCGUGUGUCAUGAACGCCUCCGGGUGGUUAAGCGCUUUUGGCCGGAAAAUAGUCGCGCUGUUUAAUCCCUGGAGUUAAUGACGGUACCGGAAGAAUAAGCCCCGGCUAACUUCGUGCCAGCAGCCGCGGUAAUACGUAGGGGGCGAGCGUUAUUCGGAAUUACUGGGCGUAAAGCGUGAGCAGGCGGUUUUGUAAGUCAGGCGUGAAAUCCCCGGAGCUCAACCUGGGAAUGGCGCUUGUAACUGCAAGUCUAGAGUGAUGUCAGAGGGGGAGUAGAAUUCCAAGUGUAGCGAGUGAAAUGCGUAGAUAGUGGAGGAACACCGAGUGGCGAAGGCGAGCCCCCUGGUCCAAUACUGACGCUCAGCGCGAAAGCGUGGGGAGCAACAGCUUACAACCCUGGUAGUCCAGCCGUAACGUAGUCUAUCUAGUUGUUGGGCAUCAUUUUCUUCGGUGCGCUACUACGCGUCCAACUGCCGCCCGGGCCCAGAGCAGACACCACAC